GCUGGCGGCAGGCCUAACACAUGCAAGUCGAGCGCGCCUUCGGGUGAGCGGCGGACGGGUUAGUAACGCGUGGGAACGUGCCCUUCUCUACGGAAUAGCCUCUGGAAACGGAGAGUAAUACCGUAUACGCCCUUUGGGGGAAAGAUUUAUCGGAGAAGGAUCGGCCCGCGUUAGAUUAGGUAGUUGGUGGGGUAACGGCCUACCAAGCCUACGAUCUAUAGCUGGUUUUAGAGGAUGAUCAGCAACACUGGGACUGAGACACGGCCCAGACUCCUACGGGAGGCAGCAGUGGGGAAUCUUAGACAAUGGGGGCAACCCUGAUCUAGCCAUGCCGCGUGAGUGAUGAAGGCCUUAGGGUCGUAAAGCUCUUUCGCCUGUGAUGAUAAUGACAGUAGCAGGUAAAGAAACCCCGGCUAACUCCGUGCCAGCAGCCGCGGUAAUACGGAGGGGGUUAGCGUUGUUCGGAAUUACUGGGCGUAAAGCGCGCGUAGGCGGAUUAGAAAGUUGGGGGUGAAAUCCCGGGGCUCAACCCCGGAACUGCCUCCAAAACUGCUAGUCUAGAGUUCGAGAGAGGUGAGUGGAAUUCCGAGUGUAGAGGUGAAAUUCGUAGAUAUUCGGAGGAACACCAGUGGCGAAGG
Molecule: ribosomal RNA, 638 nt
Filed under: uncultured Roseobacter sp.
Lineage: Bacteria; Pseudomonadati; Pseudomonadota; Alphaproteobacteria; Rhodobacterales; Roseobacteraceae
Description: bacterial SSU rRNA
Rfam family: Bacterial small subunit ribosomal RNA
Source: RNAcentral